This 1060-nucleotide long non-coding RNA is filed under the name Struthio camelus australis. Its description in RNAcentral is "lncRNA (ENSSCUG00000017756.1)". The record is from RNAcentral. Lineage: Eukaryota; Metazoa; Chordata; Aves; Struthioniformes; Struthionidae.
CUGGAGUCCUUUGUACAAACUACUCUAGCGUUGCUUUACUUUAGCACUGCCAAUAUACAGGUUUCAGUGUUACAGGGUUUAGUUUCAGCGUUAUAGUACAUGGUGAAGGUAGGUGCGGAGCUCCAGAUAUCAUCAUCUCCAAUAUCCGUUAUCUAAUUAUUUCUCAAUAACGCCUUUAAUGUCAUGAGCUCUGGAGAAGUACUCUCUAAUAACAGCUGGAGAGUUACCUUAGCUGAGUCAGACAGCAAAUUCUGACACAGUUUCCAACCAAUUUUGACAGUCUGCGUGCGGAAACGGUUGGACCGUUAAACCUUCCAGAAACAUACGUGAAUAGCCCAAAGUAUCUGAAUGUGUGCAUGUAGAACUACAGAGCUCCCCUGAAAAAAAGUGUAAAAACCAAGUUCUGCUUUACAACACAAGACCAGACACAAAGCAUAGAGAUUAAAUAAAACCUGCUGAUUUAAAAGAAAAAUUUUGGCAUAAUUUUAAGUGCAAAAUGAAGAGAGUCUUUCGUAAGAACGAGUAUCUUUCCUUCACUCUCUUCAGAAAAGCAAAAGCAUCUUAGGAAGUCACUUUGAUAAAAAGUAGGCAUAGUAAACACAGAGCCCAAGACCUUCAUGAGACUAAGUGAGAGUCCAAACUCUUUUAGCCUUAAGCAAGUAUUCCAAAACAGCUUUAACAAAUUAAACAGAAGGAAAAAACUGGCAAAAAGCCACACAAAUCUCAUUCCCAGAACAUUCAGCAUGUGGAUGCUGGAUGGUGGCUCACUUCCUUGGAGUAUCCUUGCCUCUUUCUUGUGCCCCCCCCCCCCCCCGCCGCUUCUGCUGCUGCAGGGGGGGAGAAGUUAAGCCAGGGGAAACUUUUCAAUCCCUUCCCCAGGCCGCUGCUGCCUCCUCCUUCCACAUAUUUUUCCCCUCGGAGUUUUAUUGUGUCUGAAUUUUCUCUCUCUCUCUCCUCUUCUGUCUGUCCACAGUUCAGGUUUCUGGGGUAAACAGGGUUUAGGAUGGUGCUAGGGAUAUUUGGGAGAAGGAGAACUCUAGUGGUGUCUGCUGGAGUUGCU